This is a long non-coding RNA of Aegilops tauschii subsp. strangulata, 911 nucleotides long. RefSeq lists it as uncharacterized. Lineage: Eukaryota; Viridiplantae; Streptophyta; Magnoliopsida; Poales; Poaceae. The record is from RefSeq and is a predicted model, not a curated record.
AUAUAUAUUUCUUCUUGCUCGUCACCUGAUCCCGCCGCCACCCGCCCUGGUGGCGCUGCCCCCGCCAUUCCUGUCCAAGACGUACGAUCUCGUCAGGGAGUCGCAGCUGGACGGGUCCAUCUCCCGGGGUCCCGCCGGCAAGAACUUUGUCGUGUGGAAUCCUUCCACCUUCGCCUGGAUGUGCUCCCGCACAACUUCAAGCACAACAACUUCUCCGGCUUCAUCCGGCAGCUCAACACCUAUUUAUUGCAGAGCAGUCAAACGAGUACCUCAGACUGAAAGCAUGAAUGAAGAAUUUGCAAACAACCCGACACGAACCAUGCCCAUGUGACGAUACUAAGCGAAGUUGUGCACAUGGUUGUGGACACUCUACACGAAAGAAAUUUGUAUAAAUGUACAAUGCUCCAUUUGAAGCCUCCUGGGAUGAUAUUGGAAGGAACUUGAGCGGAAGGCCGCCGGUAGAGCCUGUAUCAGAGGACAUGGAAGAAAUGAGCCCAAGCCCAAUUAAAUUUUCUCUCUCUAAAGAAAUGCCUAUUUAUUGCUUUUGGGUUGGUGCUUUUGGUUCCUUGAGAUUCUCAUUUAUGCAGAAACAUCAGUGAUGUGGCAAAGAAGGUGGAUUGUAGCAGCAGCGUGAAAGUUGGAUAUUGCUGGGGCGGGUUGGGUACGGCAAGCCGCACUUCCUAUCUAGUGGGGAUGAAGUGAAGCGUCCAAGGAACCCGACCUUCGGGCUAUUUCGCAACCGUGUCUCCCCGCGCGAAUUUUUCUGGUCAGUCGUGUUCUAUGUGAUGUAAGUGUAAUCUGCAAACGGUUUUUAGCAACUAAAUGUCAGUUUUAAAUAGGAAUCCCUCUCAUUGGAGGAUUUGCUCUCGGGUCGUGAUGAAACAUGCCUCUGUUGCAAUUUUACUGCCUGA